Long non-coding RNA from Scatophagus argus, 1478 nucleotides. RefSeq lists it as uncharacterized. The transcript has 2 exons. The record is from RefSeq and is a predicted model, not a curated record. Lineage: Eukaryota; Metazoa; Chordata; Actinopteri; Scatophagidae.
GGAAGAAGAUGGAUGGAUGGAUGGGUUUAUCUCUCAUCAUUUCCUGUUUUAUUUUGAAAAGUCUCUGAUACAAUCCUGGCUCAUGUCAAAAAGAGGUUCACCUUUCUAGACCAUCUUGUGAGUGCCACACUGCUACAAUGAGCAGCAUUGUUACACAUUUACAGUCAAGGCCCUGGACACUACAUUGAGGGCAUAUCCCAUGCUCAACAAGAUGAAGCUCAAGACUGAACUGUCCCUUAUCUAUGAGAGUCCUGAGUUCAAUCGCUGCUGCGGCGCCGUGGCACUGUACCAGGUUUUCCUGGAGCAGAACCUCCAGGAGACUUUUUCUGAGAUGGCUGCACUUUUAAACAUUUUCAAAACCACUCCCAUGACAACAGCUGAAGCUGAGAGGUGUUUCUGCACCCUUAAGAGAAUCAAGACAUUUCUCAGAAAUACAAUGGGACAAGAACGACUGAAUGCACUAGCUAUGCUCUCCAUGGAGAGAGAGUUGGUCAGGAAAAUGCCAAGCCUCAAUGAGAGGGUAAUUGAUCACUUUGCUGCCAUGAAAGCAGGCAAGCAAAGUUUCAGUACAAGUGAAUGAUGUCAAUAACUGUAAAAAACUGAUAAAACAAACAAACAAACAAAAAACAUUUCUGUGUAUUUAUUACUGGUCACGGAUGUUCCCGUAUCAUUUUCUAUCUUUAUUAAUUCUCAAUCAGUUUCUUAGUUCCUCUUGCAGUUUUUUUUUUUUGGUACGUGUUGUGAUGCAUACAUGCUUUUCUUGUUUUCUUGUUCAUCCAUGUCACAUAUCUAUUGGUUACUAUGGUUGCACAGCUAGGUGUUGGGACCAGAACAUAAAAUAAAUCUUAUAAAUGUUUAAUAAUCAUCCAGUCUAUCUAGUUUGCUACCUAAUUUGCUGCUAAUUUCCAAAUAGAACAGGGCACCUUAGCCUUCAUGGCAAAAGUUGCCCCUCCUGUGAGACUGCCAGUCAUUUGUGUAAAGGGAGAAGAGCAGUGGAGAAAGGACACAUCCUUGUGGAGCACCAGUGCUGGUUGUCCGUGUACCAGAUUUUAAACUGUUAUAAUUGGCCUUUACUGUGUACACUUUAGAUUUGUAUUUUUCUAGUUAUAAUUGUAUUUUCUAACUGAACUCACGUAACCUACUGUGUUUCCUUGGAUGUACCCACAAGAUCCUCUCUAAUGUUUCUAGGUCUGUUACAGUAGAUACACGCCUCAAUAACAACAUCCACACAUUUGAUAUCAUAUUUCAGGAAGUGCAAGUGAACGGUGGUUGGUCUGUUCACCUCAGAGACAGCUGGCCAAUGACCCUCGGUUGCGAGUAAGUCCAGCCUCUGUACUGGGCAGACCCAGUCCAAGAAGAUAAAUGUAAACUACAAUCGAAUAUCCGGGCUCCUUCUGACUGAGAUCCUGCGGGAGCUCCGUCACUCCGAGCCCAGUGCUGCCAUAUUUUACCUAUGACCUAAAUAAAUUGUACUUCUG